GGGGACCAGCCUGGGUGGAAACCUGCUACUGCUGCUGCUUCUGCCGCCCCAGCCUGGGUUGUGGAGAAACAAAUAAGGCCGAUAAACAGGCAAACAUCCAAGAAGAGGGACUGUGGGGCGAGGAGGAAAACAAGAGUUGUCAAACGAGCUUGUUCAUAACCAGAGACCAGCCUCUCUGGAGCAGAGACUAAGAUGGUGAAGGUCUAUGGCUCCAAGACCCAUGGGAUUUGGAAGAAAGACCCACGCUCCCAGAAAGUGAAAUUGUCCCUCUCAGAGGAAACAGGAGGAUGGCCACCUGCUUCCCACGGAAACAGACCCCCCUCCAAAGGCUGACGGGAGGUGAAUGAGUCAAGUACCCUAACAGACUCUCUGAUCUCCAAGCUGAGGGGCCUUUCACAGUUUGAUCGCUGCCACCCACCCGCCAGAAUUCUACAGGACAAGGAAACUAUCCAUCAGGGUCUGACUCAGGUUCCCUGACAGGACUCCUAGAAACCCCAGGAGCUUCUCAGGAUCACAAAGUCUUAGAGGUUUGGGGAACCUCCUACGUUUAAUUUUGCGGACUCUGCUGAAUCUUGAGCAUGGGAUAGCCCCCCCCCCAAAAAAAAAAAAAACCCACUUGGGUUCAUUUCCUUCUUUCCCUAAAUCUUGGGGAAUGCCUCAGGCAGCAGGGUAAGACAUUCCACUAGACCUGCCUGUCAUUUCAAAUUUAAACCAAAUUGUUUAAACGGGCUCUGUCUUAGCAAUUAUCUACUCGAAUCUGUCCACAUUACUCCCUCGAUGUUGGCCACUGCUGGCCCAAAUUGGGAAUGUUUGACUUUCUCGAAGACCUAGACAACUUUCAUAAAUGAACCGGCAAAUGGUUGGAGGCCCCGCCCACACAUAAACCUUGCCCCGCCCAACCUCAUUUUAACUCUUCUCCUUCCAUUUACAACCGGGUCCUAAUGCCCCGCCGUUUCUCCUGGGGAGAUUUUUGCCUUAAGCCUUUUUAGUCUGGCUUUUGUUUCGGCCCCACCAAGCCUGCAUUCUCUUGAUUUUAUGUCUAUUCAUCAGCUACUCAUUAGGCUUCCCAGAUUGUCUUCCUCCAUCUACAGAAUACACAAACUGUUCACUGAGUUCAGUGUGUGUCUUUUGGGUGUGGAAAAUACUGAAAAGUUGUCACAAGCUAUUUAACUUGGCUGCAAAGCAUGCUCUGGAAAUGGGGUCUGGCCUGCCUACUUGAGACCCAAGCACUUUAUUUCAAAGUUUCCCCAAGGCCACCUUCCUAGAUUAAGGUGGCUCCCUGACUCUGUGACAGAGAAGGAAAACAACAAAGCACCCCAUGGAAAAAGACGUUACGGCCUCUUGAGGACCCGGUAAGAGGUUAGCUAUUCCCAAUAGAGGCUUUUCUUGUUUACCUCAUAAGGUGUACGUAUUAAAACCAGCUAAUGACGCUCAGAUAGGCAAAGGAUAAAAGAGACCCUUUGUAUAAAAUCUCUUAAUGCACAACAAACAACACAGUUUCAACGGAUCCCUCAGCUAAGUUGUUAGAUGAUCAUAUAAAUUCAGUAAUGAUUAUGGAAAAAAAAAACCCCUCUACGUGCUAUAUAACUUAUAAAGGCUGUUUUAUGUUUUGUGUAAGGUCUGCCUGGAAACUUACAAGGCCUGGUGGUUUUACAGUAUGUACAGAGGUAAUUAUUAA
This 1678-nucleotide long non-coding RNA is filed under the name Mus pahari (shrew mouse). Its description in RNAcentral is "lncRNA (MGP_PahariEiJ_G0005320.1)". The record is from RNAcentral. Lineage: Eukaryota; Metazoa; Chordata; Mammalia; Rodentia; Muridae.